GGGGAGGGAGGGAGGGAGGGAGGGAGGAAGGGAGCAAGAGGGCUCGCCAGAAGCUGUUAAUGUCGCCCUCCUCUCCGGUGGCUUGGAGGUCAUGGAGGGAGGGGAGGCACUGAAGCGCGCGAGUAGAGCGAGGGAGUGGAAGAGCCGGAGGAGGAGAGGACGAACAGAAUGUCACGAGCGCUGCGGGAGUCCAACUCGAGGAAAGGGAUCGGAUAAGGAACAAGGACAGAGAU
Molecule: long non-coding RNA, 233 nt
Filed under: Sorghum bicolor (sorghum)
Lineage: Eukaryota; Viridiplantae; Streptophyta; Magnoliopsida; Poales; Poaceae
Description: long non-coding RNA (SBIC_LNC006138)
Source: RNAcentral